Molecule: ribosomal RNA, 254 nt
Filed under: uncultured bacterium
Lineage: Bacteria
Description: partial 16S ribosomal RNA
Rfam family: Bacterial small subunit ribosomal RNA
Source: RNAcentral
GACGAACCGUGCGACCGUUAUUCGGAAUCACUGGGCUUAAAGCGCGUGUAGGCGGCCCGGCACGUCCGUCGCUGAAAUCCCCCGGCUCAACCGGGGAAGUGGCGUGGAUACGGCCGGGCUGGAGGGGGGUAGGGGGAGCCGGAACUUCCGGUGGAGCGGUGAAAUGCGUUGAGAUCGGAAGGAACGCCCGUGGCGAAAGCGGGCUCCUGGACCCCACCUGACGCUGAGACGCGAAAGCCAGGGGAGCGAACGGG